GACGAACGCUGGCGGCGUGCCUAACACAUGCAAGUCGAGCGGAGUCGAUCGACGGAAGCCUUCGGGCGGAAGAUGGUUGACUUAGCGGCGGAUGGGUGAGUAACGCGUGGGCAACCUGCCUCGAAGACCGGGAUAACAGCCCGAAAGGGCUGCUAAUACCGGAUGUGGUCAAGGAUCCGCAUGGAUUUUUGAUUAAAGGGGAAACCCGUUUCGAGAUGGGCCCGCGUCCUAUCAGCUAGUUGGUGAGGUAAAAGCUCACCAAGGCGACGACGGGUAGCCGGCCUGAGAGGGUGACCGGCCACACUGGAACUGAGACACGGUCCAGACUCCUACGGGGGGCAGCAGUGGGGAAUCUUCCACAAUGGGCGAAAGCCUGAUGGAGCGACGCCGCGUGAGCGAAGAAGGCCUCGGUUGUAAGCUCUGUCUGGAGGGACGAAGGAAGUGACGGUACCUCCGGAGGAAGCCACGGCUAACUACGUGCCAGCAGCCGCGGUAAAGUGUGUGUA
This 506-nucleotide ribosomal RNA is filed under the name uncultured bacterium. RNAcentral describes it as "bacterial SSU rRNA". It matches the Rfam family "Bacterial small subunit ribosomal RNA", at positions 28 to 533 of the family's 1533-position model. The record is from RNAcentral.